AACAGAAGACAGGAACGGUGGCACAUUACCCUCAUCUCGAAUCUCGUUAAAGAUGUAGCAUACAUAGUACAACCAGCGGCCAGACAACAAUAAUAAUAAAUAUUAUGAGUAGGAGGGGGAAUCCGCCUUACUAAAAACCAAUUCGUGGUCCGAAUCCGGUGUCAUCUAGGCUCGGGGAAGUCCAGAAUCCAUUAUGGUAUCCUCAAAGUUUGCUUCUGUUUUAAAGAUAAGUAGAAGGAGCUAUGCUUGAGCCUGCCGGUUCUGCUCUAUGGUUGAGAAUAAUGCGUAUGCGUCGACGUAAUCGAAAGGAACGAUACUUCACUCACAUCAUGAUUAGGAGCCCAUGACCUAACCGAAGAGGAAAGUAGAGAGUUUCAAACUGCCUUUUGCCGUGAAGACAUCAGCGGGGUGGUUAUAAGAAAAUAUCUUAUUUUAACCAAAGUCGUUCGUAUGGAAGAAGUAAUGAUUAAUAGGGGUAAUCAGGGGCAUUCACAAGAAACUGUCGGACGGGGAACUCCUAAAUUUGGUAAAGACGGGCUGCUGCGAAAGCCUUAAUCAGGGAUGUUUUCAUUGAUCAAGAUCGUAAAUUAGUGGGGAGCAGGAGAUCAGAUGGCGUCUUAGUCCAAACCAUAAACCAAUCGACUUGAGAAAUGAGGCAGUUAUUCAUUUGACUCAUUCAGCAGAACAUGAAGGUCAAAGGUAAUGGGUUCCGGGGGGACCACCCUCGCAAGGCUGAAAAUUUGAGGAAUUGACGGAAGCUCCCCACCAAGAGUGGAGCCUUUGGGUUUAUCUUUGCAACACGCGCAGCAAGGGAUUAUUUAGAUAUUCUCACUCGCGCGGGCGCGAGCGCGCGCAAGAGAGAGAGUCCCACUACGAAUAAUAAAAUA
Molecule: ribosomal RNA, 887 nt
Filed under: uncultured eukaryote
Lineage: Eukaryota
Description: partial 18S ribosomal RNA
Rfam family: Eukaryotic small subunit ribosomal RNA (bases 198-887)
Source: RNAcentral